GGAUAUGGAAAACCUGUUAUAAGGAGUACAUCCUGUAUUAAACAUUGUGACUAUUAAGUUAACAAAAUAUGUUUUGUUUCACAAAAGAAACUUGUACAACAUUCAUUUACAUAUACCAAACCCCAUUGUUUACUACGGGUAGCCCAUACUACAAGUGUAUCUAACAAAUAUAUACAUUACAUCAUUCCAACAAAAGGUGUAGUCUUGAUACAAAAGGCAUGGCCUCAAAAGACUUUCAAUAUGAGCAAACAGCAUCCAAUCACAGUAAAGCAUUGCUCAAGCAUUCUUUCCUGCAUAGGUCUUCUGACCUGCAUCUAUAGGUGGAAGGAAUAGGGUGAGUUCACAACUCAGUAGGAAAGUUUAUAACCAUCCUAAGUAUACCCUUAAAAACCUUGAAUUAAACGUUUAAUAACAUGCAUGAUAAACAUUUCAUAACAAUUAACAAAUGUGUAAUCAUGUCAAACAUGUAUGCAUGUGUUUGUUGGUUUCAUCAUUGCUUUUCCCAUCCAUCCUUUCACAACUGAUAAUUUGCUGACUCCCAACAAUCUACACAGCAGAUAUCAAUGCUCCACAAGAUACUCGAUCAAUAUAAUAAUGACUAUUCUGGGACAUCACCCAAGGGCAAGUCAUACCCCGUGUCUUUUGGGACUCAUACCCAAGGGCAGGACCAACCCCGUGUCUUUAGGGACUAAAACCCAGGGGCAGGACCAACCCCAUACACCCACAUCGGAGUGUCUUCCUCGAGGGCUUUAGGGACUUUCACCCAAGGACCCACGGUCCCACAUAAACAAUAUAUCAAAUGAUAAGGCCUGUAGCAUCACAUAAGCACUUCGCCACCAAUAAAUUCUCUGAAUAUGAUCUGUGAUAAUUCCAUAUCCUACUUGCAAUGCAAUCACACCAUAAACCAUUUCGACAACAGAAAACCACGAAUAUUCAUUCCAAUAUACGUUCCAACAUCAUGGUAACAUUUCAAUGCAAUAAACCGAGAUGCAAUGACACUUUAAAAGAUUUGAUGAAAUCAUAGAAAUAACAUGAAAUUCCAACAAAUAAUUCAAGGAAAGAAAUCAGAUACACCAUAGAAUAGCAUAAAAUUCCCUACCUUACACCGACUUCCUUUUUGUGUUUCUUCUAAGUAGGCGAUCUUUGCCUAUUAUGAGGAACUGAAAUGAAACAACAUAAUUUAGGUUUCCUAACCAUGAAAAUUUAUAUAGUUUAUUGUUGUAAAUUUUUAAUUCUAAAGUUCUCUAAUCUAUAUCCUACAUGUUUACAGAUCAAAUUAGAAUUGAAUUAAACAAUAUUUGCAAUGCAUAUUAAUUUCCCUAAUUAAUUACCAAACACUAAUUCUUUUUAUUUUCUUAAAGCCUAACCUAUUAACAAAUCCCAAGUGUCCAAAUAACCCAAUUCAUCACAUGUUUACUAAUCUAUUUUUCAAUCAAACCAAAUUAAACAAAGAUUUAUGCUGAUCUUACCAUUAAUAAAAUACUUAACUGAAAAUACUUUAAUCUUUAAUUAAUUGUGAUUUUUAACUAAAACAGGUUUAUAGCUAAUUAUACUCAACUUUUACACAAUUUUUACCAUUAAUUCUAUUCAACAUGCCAUUAGGAACCAAAAUAAACGAAAAUUACAAAAUUAAACACUUGCUUACCUCAAAUCUACACUUUCUCUCUCUAGUUUCUCUCUCUAACCCAAGU
RNAcentral lists this long non-coding RNA (1691 nucleotides) under Vitis vinifera (wine grape). RNAcentral's name for it is "long non-coding RNA (VVIN_LNC003548)". Lineage: Eukaryota; Viridiplantae; Streptophyta; Magnoliopsida; Vitales; Vitaceae. The record is from RNAcentral.